AACCUGCGGAGGGAUCAUUCAGAGUUUAACGACAUCCCAACCACUGUGACAUACCCGUACCGUUGCCUCGGCGGGGGCCCCAGGGGGGGCCCAGCCUCCUCGCGGAGGCGCCUGCCGCAGGUCACAAAACUAUACCGAUAUUUAGUGGCAUCUCUGAGUAACUUCCAAACAAUCAAAACUUUCAACAACGGAUCUCUUGGUUCUGGCAUCGAUGAAGAACGCAGCGAAAUGCGAUAAGUAAUGUGAAUUGCAGAAUUCAGUGAAUCAUCGAAUCUUUGAACGCACAUUGCGCCCGCCAGCAUUCUGGCGGGCAUGCCUGUCCGAGCGUCAUUUCAACCCUCAAGCCCUGCUUGGUGUUGGGGCACUACGCGCAAGCGUAGGCCCUCAAAAUUAGUGGCGGACUCGCUGGAGGUCCGGGCGUAGUAAUACAUCUCGCCCGAGGUCCCCAGCGUGCCCCUGCCGUUAAACCCCCAAACUUACAGAAGGUUGACCUCGGAUCAGGUAGGAAUACCCGCUGAACUUAAGCAUAUCAAUAAGCGGAGAA
This 544-nucleotide ribosomal RNA is filed under the name Cephalotheca sulfurea. RNAcentral's name for it is "eukaryotic LSU rRNA". The stretch from base 177 to 330 matches the Rfam family "5.8S ribosomal RNA". Lineage: Eukaryota; Fungi; Ascomycota; Sordariomycetes; Cephalothecales; Cephalothecaceae. The record is from RNAcentral.